This 209-nucleotide long non-coding RNA is filed under the name Capsicum annuum. Its description in RNAcentral is "long non-coding RNA (CANN_LNC018038)". The record is from RNAcentral. Lineage: Eukaryota; Viridiplantae; Streptophyta; Magnoliopsida; Solanales; Solanaceae.
CAAAAGCUGAAGAGAUCUCAUGAAGGCGAAAAUUCAACUGUUUGUAGAUUAAUCAAGGUGACAAAAACACCAAGUUUUAUUUUAAAUAGGCAAAUGCACAUAAGAGAUUUAAUUGUAUUGUUAAAAUGAUGAUUGACGGGGAGUUGCCGGAUGAUGAGGAAAUCAUAAAGGAAUAGAUUCAAGAUUUUUGUCAAAAUCUAUUUAGGGAG